This is a long non-coding RNA of Brachypodium distachyon (stiff brome), 807 nucleotides long. RefSeq lists it as uncharacterized. Lineage: Eukaryota; Viridiplantae; Streptophyta; Magnoliopsida; Poales; Poaceae. The record is from RefSeq and is a predicted model, not a curated record. The transcript is spliced from 2 exons.
GUGAUGCGCCUCAUUAUUUUGUUUGCCACCAUUCUGCUUUCACCGUCUCUCCUUUUUUGAGUCUCUUGGGAAAAUUGCGUGCAGCACCGAGCGCCAUCUCUUGAGGGCACCACUAAUUUUUCUUGUUUAUUUUUUUCUAACUAUAGUCUGAUUUGUAUAGGCGAUAGAUACCAGUAUUUGACAAGACAUUUUUAAUGAUUUUGACGUUGAUACUGAUAAAACUGGAGAACAAGCUUGAGAGCAGGCAACAUUGCAUUUACCUUCUAAUAAUACUCCUCGAGAACAAACUGCUUUUUUUGUUCCAGGCGUACGAGGGUGAGAGGACCAGGAUCCGUGACAACAACCUCAACUUGCACUCUGCCUGUAGCAUCUGUUAUAACCAUGGUUAUAGUUGCUUUGAGAGGCAUAGGAGCUGGUGAAGUACAUUGAUUGAAAAUAUGCUUACAGGUGAUAUUGACCAAAAGAAAUUCUUUGGUCGGAGGUGUUAGUUCCUCACUUGGUCUGGCAGGAUCGUAUCAUUCCCAGCAAACAUGGAUUUCAUGAUCUUCAACCACCGCGGAAGGGCGCUGCCAUCAGACGCCGACUUGAAGCUGAAGAUAUGAACAACUAUUCACCGACUUUGAAGAUAUGAGCGAAAAUUAACCGAUCCAUCCAUACUUUUUGUGUCACCCAUGCUAAAGCAGGGGAAACCUUACCAGACCACAACUUAUCUACUUUUUAACUCUAGAAUUUGUAACACCAUUCCAUAUGUUAUAUGAAGGUUAGCUCUGAGCUUCUGUCCCAGCCUGAUGUAAUGCAAGUUUUAUG